GUAUAGAUAGAAACAUUGCUAUCAUUGUUUCUGUUUCUGUCAUUGGGUUGGUGCUGGUGAUUUCUGCAUUACUAGGUUUUUGUUACUAUCGAAGCCAGCAAAAACAUUUACCACUAGCACAUGAACAUGAGAAAGUACCUGAGCUGAAGCUUACGGCGCCCCUUGAGAAGAAUUUAGACCUGGAUGCUAUUAGAGUUGCCACCGACAAUUUUGCUGAAGAAAAUAGCAUUGUUUCUUCCCGAUAUAGAACAGUCUACAAGCCAAAAGACUAAACACAGCAGGAGGACUUGAGGAACUAAAAAAUGAGGUGAAAAUGCUUGCAAGGCUUGACCACCCAAACAUCAUAAGGAUGCUGGGAUCUUGCAUAGGGAGUAACGACAAGGUCAUAUGCUAUGAAUAUAU
Long non-coding RNA from Setaria italica (foxtail millet), 402 nucleotides. RefSeq lists it as uncharacterized. The record is from RefSeq and is a predicted model, not a curated record. The transcript is spliced from 3 exons. Lineage: Eukaryota; Viridiplantae; Streptophyta; Magnoliopsida; Poales; Poaceae.